AGAGGGUGCAAGCGUUAAUCGGAAUUACUGGGGCGUAAAGGGGCGCGUAGGGUUGUAACAUAAGUUGGAUGUAAAAUUCCCAGGCUUAACCUGGGACGGCCAUUCAAAACUGUGUGACUAGAGUACAGUAGAGGGAAGUGGAAUUUCCGGUGUAGCGGUGAAAUGCGUAGAUAUCGGAAGGAACACCUGUUGCGAAGGCGACUUUCUGGGCUGUUACUGACACUGAGGCGCGAAAGCGUGGGGAGCAAACAGGAUUAGAUACCCUGGUAGUCCACGCCGUAAACGAUGAAAACUAGCCGUUGGGUUUUUUAAAGUUCAGUGGCGCAGCUAACGCAUUAAGUUUUCCGCCUGGGGAGUACGGCCGCAAAGGCUA
Molecule: ribosomal RNA, 373 nt
Filed under: uncultured organism
Description: partial 16S ribosomal RNA
Rfam family: Bacterial small subunit ribosomal RNA
Source: RNAcentral